RNAcentral lists this ribosomal RNA (495 nucleotides) under uncultured bacterium. RNAcentral describes it as "partial 16S ribosomal RNA". It matches the Rfam family "Bacterial small subunit ribosomal RNA", at positions 28 to 505 of the family's 1533-position model. The record is from RNAcentral.
GAUGAACGCUGGCGGCGUGCCUAAUACAUGCAAGUCGAGCGAACAGAUGAGGAGCUUGCUCCUCUGACGUUAGCGGCGGACGGGUGAGUAACACGUGGAUAACCUACCUAUAAGACUGGGAUAACUUCGGGAAACCGGAGCUAAUACCGGAUAAUAUAUUGAACCGCAUGGUUCAAUAGUGAAAGACGGUUUUGCUGUCACUUAUAGAUGGAUCCGCGCCGCAUUAGCUAGUUGGUAAGGUAACGGCUUACCAAGGCGACGAUGCGUAGCCGACCUGAGAGGGUGAUCGGCCACACUGGAACUGAGACACGGUCCAGACUCCUACGGGAGGCAGCAGUAGGGAAUCUUCCGCAAUGGGCGAAAGCCUGACGGAGCAACGCCGCGUGAGUGAUGAAGGUCUUCGGAUCGUAAAACUCUGUUAUUAGGGAAGAACAAAUGUGUAAGUAACUAUGCGCGUCUUGACGGUACCUAAUCAGAAAGCCACGGCUAACUACG